This 441-nucleotide ribosomal RNA is filed under the name uncultured bacterium. RNAcentral describes it as "partial 16S ribosomal RNA". It matches the Rfam family "Bacterial small subunit ribosomal RNA", at positions 338 to 795 of the family's 1533-position model. The record is from RNAcentral.
CCUACGGGUGGCAGCAGUGGGGAAUAUUGCACAAUGGGGGAAACCCUGAUCCAGCAACGCCGCGUGAGGGAAGAGGGUUUUCGGAUUGAAAAGCUUUGUUAGAAGGGAAAGGGAGGGCCGGUCCUGGCAGGGGAAGCAAGGGCUAACUACGUGCCAGCAGCCGCGGUAAUACGUAGGUGGCAAGCGUUGUUCGGAAAAACUGGGCGUAAAGGAUGCGUAGGCGGUUAAACAAGUUAUAUGUAAAAUAUAUAGGCUUAACCUGUAGAAAGCAUAUAAAACUGUUUAACUAGAGUGCAGGAGAGGUAAGUGGAAUUCCUAGUGUAGCGGUGAAAUGCGUAGAGAUUAGGAAGAACACCAGUGGCGAAGGCGACUUACUGGACUGUAACUGACGCUGAGGCAUGAGAGCAUGGGGAGCAAACAGGAUUAGAUACCCGGGUAGUC